This 1027-nucleotide long non-coding RNA is filed under the name Marmota monax (woodchuck). The record is from RNAcentral. Lineage: Eukaryota; Metazoa; Chordata; Mammalia; Rodentia; Sciuridae.
CCUAUGAAAGCAAACUUCUGCUGCAUUAUGCCACUGCUCUGUGGACCUGUCACAGCAGCCGCAGGACACUGACAGGAGCCCCUUCCCCGAGCCAGGUCCUGGGGAUGAUGAGGUGCAGUUGGGAAGACCGCAGCCUUGUGUGCUCCUGCAGCUCAGACACUCUGCCUUGGAAAGCCCUCCUCUGGGCUUCUGGAAGCAGCCAAAACUGGCCACUGAGGUGGGAGCCCUGGGGAGGCUGGCCCGGCCCCAUGCACAGAACUGGCCGUCUCUUGGAGAACCUUCCGCUAAGGAGCUGGGCAUGAGGAUGUCCUCUCGCCAAACCAAAGGGCCCUCGAUGUCAGUGAGCAGGUCAUUCCAACUCCAUGCUGUAGCCCUCUCCAGAGAGCGAUGAAUGCAAAGCUGAGCCCUGAGCCCAGCUCACAGUCACAACUCAGCCCAUAUUUGCUCAGCAGCCGUCUUUUCCUGGGUUACGUAACCCCCUCAAGGAACAGCCAUGUGUGCCCUGGCACCUCACACCUGGAGUCAUGGCCAAAUACUCGAGCGGUAAGUCACUGGGCUUUGUGUUUUCAACACACAUAGAAGCAGUUCUUGCAGAUCAAUCCUCACACUAUUUUAAAUGUUUCAUAAAGCUCCUGGAUGGUGUGUGUGUGUGUGUGUGUGGUGUUUAGUGAGCCACUGAGCAGGAGGCUUCAGUUUGGGUUCCCAGGAGGCCCCUUGGGUCUUGCUGCCUAUUCUCUGGAGCACAUGUGAGAGAGGGGGACAUGGCCACUCUGGACAUGGCCAGGACCUCAAGGACAAACUCACACUGGGAGAACUCUAAGCAGACCCCUUUUCACCUUCUGUUUUAUUUACAGCGGGCCGUUCCCUAAGUGGAGGAAACAGAGGAUUAGACCAUUUUCUAGAAGACUGCAUAGAUUCUCAAGUCGGGUCAGAUGAACCAUGUGCCAACAGCAGAGAGAACCUGAUUAAAGUAAUAAGCAUUUCAAGAGUUUCCUACAAGAGGGGAGAGGGGCUGAGGCAGGAGGAC